This 273-nucleotide ribosomal RNA is filed under the name uncultured bacterium. RNAcentral's name for it is "partial 16S ribosomal RNA". It matches the Rfam family "Bacterial small subunit ribosomal RNA", at positions 82 to 354 of the family's 1533-position model. The record is from RNAcentral.
UCUAUGUCGGCGACCGGCGCACGGGUGCGUAACGCGUAUGCAACCUACCCAUUACAGGGGGAGUAACACUGAGAAAUCGGUACUAAUACCCCAUAACAUCCAGGGAGGCAUCUUCUUGGGUUGAAAACUCCGGUGGUAAUGGAUGGGCAUGCGUUGUAUUAGUUAGUUGGUGGGGUAACGGCUCACCAAGACAACGAUACAUAGGGGGACUGAGAGGUUAACCCCCCCACAUUGGUACUGAGACACGGACCAAACUCCUACGGAAGGCAGCAG